GUGAGACCCCCUUCCUGAGGGUGUCAGGAUUUUAAACCCCUUUGGAAUGAAGUUCAGGACACUGCUGCUUUGUGGCCGAAGGUGUCCAGUGGACGGGAGCCCUGGUGCCUCAUACCUAGACAGCUGUUAAGCCUUCAAAGGACCUUCUGCUGUUGACCUUUUUUAGUCAAAAGAUAUGGACUAUUGCGGACACUGUGAAUUUGGACAAAUUACUUCCCCUCUCUGAACUUGUUUAUUUGUAAAAUUAGAUAAGAAUUCCUGCCCUGCCCAUCUUUCAGGGUUGCUAUAAGGAUUAAAUGAGAGAAAAUACAUGAAAAUAAGUGCUUUGUAAACUCUAAGGUAAAAAAAUUGAGUGAUUAAUUAUAACCCACAUUGUUUCUUCCUUAUACUUUCAUAUAUACAGGGACUUCCAUAGGAUCAAAGGAUGUAGACCUGGAAGGGACCUUAGACAUCAAUGAAUCCUGCUGCCUCAUUUUACAGAUGAAGGAAGCGAGGAAGCUGGGGCAGAAGUUAAAUGACUGGCCCAGGGUCACAUAGGGAGUUUCUGAAUUCAGACCUUCCUGACUCCAUCUCUAGCUCUGUAUCCACUGAACCUCUUUAGUCGCCUCAUCAAAUUGCUGUACUAGCCCUUCAGUAAUUAAUGGCUAGAAAGUAGCUCCCUGUGUUCAACUGAAACUAGGCAGAGGAUAUUGUGCCUGCCUCUCUAUCACUGACCUGGUAGAGUAAAUAUAUUUAUGCUCUAAGGAA
This is a non-coding RNA of Monodelphis domestica (gray short-tailed opossum), 747 nucleotides long. NCBI's taxonomy places the organism in Eukaryota, Metazoa, Chordata, Mammalia, Didelphimorphia, Didelphidae. The record is from RefSeq and is a predicted model, not a curated record.